CCUACGGGAGGCAGCAGUGGGGAAUAGUGCACAAUGGGGGAAACCCUGAUGCAGCAACGCCGCGUGAGUGAUGACGGCCUUCGGGUGGGAAAGCUCUGUCUUCAGGGACGAGAAGGACGGUACCUGAGGAGGAAGCCACGGCGAACGACGGGCCAGCAGCCGCGGUAAUACGUAGGGGGCGAGCGUUGUCCGGAUUUACUGGGCGUACCGGGAGCGUAGGCGGACUUUUACGUGAGAGGGGAAAUACUCGGGCUCCACUUGAGUGCUGCCUUUCAAACUGGAAGUCUAGAGUGCAGGAGCGGAGACUUGCAUUCCUCUUGUAGCGGUGAACUGCGUCGAGAUUAGGCAGACCACCAGUGGCGAAGGCGCUUCUCUGGACUGUACCUGACGCUGCGGCUCGCACGCGUGGGGAGCACACAGGAUUAGCUACCCGGGUAGUC
This 440-nucleotide ribosomal RNA is filed under the name uncultured bacterium. RNAcentral's name for it is "partial 16S ribosomal RNA". It matches the Rfam family "Bacterial small subunit ribosomal RNA", at positions 338 to 795 of the family's 1533-position model. The record is from RNAcentral.